GAUGGGAAGAUUCACUUCCGUCUUCCUCUCCUGCCUCUCCUUCCUCCUCUUCGUCGUUCUUCUCCCACACGUCUCUUCGCGGCCAGCGGCCAUGCCCGCUCGACGCAGCAUCGUCGGCGAGACCUGCAACCAGAUCGCGAGAGGCGAUCCCAACGUGGACUUCACCUUCUGUUCGCAGUCGCUGCGGUCGGCCGCCGGAAGCGACGGCGCGGACCUGCACGGCCUCGCCAUCAUAUCGCUAAAGCUGGCGGUCGCCAACGCGACGUCCGCCGCGACCCGGGCGAAGGCGCUGCUGAAGGGCAACGGCCUGAGCCGGUACUACAAGUCGUGCCUGGACGCCUGCCGCGAAGUCUACGCCGACGCCGCGUCGGAUCUCCGCGACGCCACCGGGAUGAUCAGAUCCGGCCGCCUUGUCGACGCCAGGGUGUACAUCAGCGCCGCCGUGGACGCGCCCGUCGUGUGCGAGGACGGGUUCCAAGAAGGUGGACUCGCCUCGCCGCUGGCGGAGGAAGACGGCGACCUGAUGCAGCUUGCUGUCAUCGCCCUCGCCCUCGCCGUUCGACUGGGUUGAUUGAUUACCGCACAGGUUUAAAGCACCAGGCAGGUGAUUGGCACGGUUAAUGUUGGUCUGGAAUCGAUCAGAUCACUUGCAGUGGGUUUGAUGCUCUUC
Molecule: long non-coding RNA, 670 nt
Filed under: Musa acuminata (dwarf banana)
Lineage: Eukaryota; Viridiplantae; Streptophyta; Magnoliopsida; Zingiberales; Musaceae
Description: long non-coding RNA (MACU_LNC000263)
Source: RNAcentral